Leptidea sinapis is the source of this 248-nucleotide long non-coding RNA. RefSeq lists it as uncharacterized. NCBI's taxonomy places the organism in Eukaryota, Metazoa, Arthropoda, Insecta, Lepidoptera, Pieridae. The record is from RefSeq and is a predicted model, not a curated record. The transcript is spliced from 3 exons.
ACUGGCUGUGUUUUAUUGUGUUGGUAAUUUUUUUGAUAUUUGGUAGAUUGUUAACGAUAUUUAGGGUUUAUUAAUUCUUGUUUUUAUGGAAACUGUAGAUUUAUGAGCUUGCUGCACCUGAUGGUUUGCUAGUACAUACUCUUAUUGACACUGUGGGCAUACCCAUUGCUAGAUCACGAUUAGUCCAGACUGGACUUAGAGCCAAAUUUCUAAGACAAGGGAUUGAAACUACAGAAGACCCGGUACAG